Molecule: ribosomal RNA, 483 nt
Filed under: Pantoea sp. UYSB47
Lineage: Bacteria; Pseudomonadati; Pseudomonadota; Gammaproteobacteria; Enterobacterales; Erwiniaceae
Description: bacterial SSU rRNA
Rfam family: Bacterial small subunit ribosomal RNA
Source: RNAcentral
GCUUCCGGAGCUAACGCGUUAAGUCGACCGCCUCGGGAGUACGGCCGCAAGGAGAAAACUCAAAUAAAUAGACGGGGGCCCGCACAACCGGCGGAGCAUGAGGUGGAAUUAGAUGCAACGAGAAGAACAUCACCUGGCCUCGACAUCCAGAGAACUUAGCAGCGAUGAUGCGGCGCUUCGGGAACUCUGAGACAGACGCAGCAUGGCCGUCGUCAGCUUCAGUUGUGAAAUGGAGGGUUAAGUCCCGCAACGAGCGCAACCGUUAUCCUUGUUUGCCAGCGGUUCGCCCGGGCACUCAAAGGAGACUGCCGGUGAUAAACCGGAGGAAGGUGGGGAUGACGUCAAGUCAUCAUGGCCCUUACGGCCAGGGCUACACACGUGAUACAAUGGCGCAUACAAAGGGAAGCGACCUCGCGAGAGCAAGCGGACCUCAUAAAGUGCGUCGUAGUCCGGAUUGGAGUCUGCAACUCGACUCCAUGAAGU